GUUCUUCCUUUGGAGACCAUUCCCCCCUAUAUUGGACUCGUUCGGGUUCGCCCGGACUAUGGGCAUAAACGGGCGUGUAAUAAGCGGACUGGACCCGGGUGCGAUUCCCGGCGGCUCCACCAUUCUCCUCCAGGUAUCGCUGGAGAGCGCGGGGCCGAUCAGCAUCGACAGACGUGUAAAGACGUAUUCUUUGCCUCGGCGUGGCUCACCGUUUCGGGCCAUUAAACUAACUGCGAACGAUAACUUCGCUGAAGAGUACGCGAUCGCCGCGUAAUGCGGUGCUAGCGAACUCGACCUAAACUCCUGGGGGUUCAGAUCCUCAGGCGGGGCCCGGGGGAGCCUGCCAACAGAAUCCCCCACC
This 361-nucleotide transfer-messenger RNA is filed under the name Caulobacter sp. It matches the Rfam family "Alphaproteobacteria transfer-messenger RNA". From Rfam's summary of the family: Bacterial tmRNA, also known as 10Sa RNA or SsrA, is named for its dual tRNA and mRNA-like properties. Its role is to liberate the mRNA from a stalled ribosome. To accomplish this part of the tmRNA is used as a reading frame that ends in a translation stop signal. The record is from RNAcentral. Lineage: Bacteria; Pseudomonadati; Pseudomonadota; Alphaproteobacteria; Caulobacterales; Caulobacteraceae.